UCGGUUUGUGCUUUAAACCCAAAGUAAACCGAAUAUAUAAACCAUUAAGUUUGAUUCUAAACCGGUAUCAUCUUCUUCUUCACCCGAUUCUUCAAACAAUCAACAACAAUUGUGAUAAAUUUGAUAUCAAAAUUACAAAAGCUCAUUGGAGCUUCUUCACUCGUCUUCUUCUUCAACAACCUCCGUAUCUCCGAUGGCGUCUUCGCCCCACACAAACGACGGCGGUCUCAACAAACGUAAGAAUAUCUUAAACAAGAUCAGAUCGUUGAUGAAACUUAUGUCAUGGGAAAGAAAAAUGAGCUUAGCAAUGAUUCUAGAAGAAUCGAAUUUUUGAUUGCAGGUCGAGAUGGUGGUAAUGGGAUAUGCUCUGGUUUUUUUUAUUCGAUUGAAUUUGUUCUUGAUUGUUUUAAAAGUAUGGCUAAUGAUUUUGAUUUUGUAAAGACAAACAAAAACACAUCCCUUUAAGAAUUGUUUCGAUUGAAUUCGGAUUAUUGAUUUUGUUUCUAU
RNAcentral lists this small RNA (507 nucleotides) under Arabidopsis thaliana (thale cress). RNAcentral's name for it is "putative long intergenic non-coding RNA". The record is from RNAcentral. Lineage: Eukaryota; Viridiplantae; Streptophyta; Magnoliopsida; Brassicales; Brassicaceae.